Molecule: long non-coding RNA, 299 nt
Organism: Psammomys obesus (fat sand rat)
Lineage: Eukaryota; Metazoa; Chordata; Mammalia; Rodentia; Muridae
Exons: 3
Source: RefSeq, a predicted model, not a curated record
CUAUUCCCAUCUGAGGAUAUAUGCAAAUUGAAGGUGAGGCCAGGAAAAUCUAGACAUCGCUCACUGGAAAGCUGGAUCUGGAAAAGGGAUUUGGCCCACCCACUUCAGACCCAAACGUGUACCUUUCACAGCUUCCUCUCAGGCUCAAGGAACAUGAAGGAAGAGAGGGCAGAAAGAUUCUAAGAGCCAGAACUCCAGCAAGUCUGUGGUGAGAUUGUGUCUGGUAGAAAUGACAACAAAGCUUCACCCAUGAGACUCCAACAACAUGGCUGACUAAAUAAGGUUUGACCAAGCACAAC